RNAcentral lists this ribosomal RNA (493 nucleotides) under Boophis luteus. Its description in RNAcentral is "partial 16S ribosomal RNA". It matches the Rfam family "Bacterial large subunit ribosomal RNA", at positions 720 to 1266 of the family's 2925-position model. The record is from RNAcentral. Lineage: Eukaryota; Metazoa; Chordata; Amphibia; Anura; Mantellidae.
ACUAAGUGAGCUACUUUAAAAUAGCCCUAGAGCUAACCCGUCUCUGUUGCAAUAGAGUGGGACAAUUUUUAAGUAGAGGUGAUAAGCCUAUCGAACUUAGAGAUAGCUGGUUUUUUAAGAAAAGAAUUUUAGUUCAGCCCUAAGUUUUCUGUUACACAAAAACAAAACUAGACUUAGGAGUUAUUCAAAUAAGGCACAGCUUAUUUGAAAUAGGAUACAACCCAGAAAAAAGGGUAAGAACAAUUAAAAUUUUUAAUAAGUGGGCCUAAAAGCAGCCACCUUUAAAAAAGCGUCAAAGCUUAAUAUCAACAAUUUUCUAAUACCAUUAUUAACUUCUAACCCUUGCUUAAUAUUAAAAAACCCCAUAAUACUAUGGAAGCUAUUAUGCUAGAACAAGUAACAAGAAAAAGACUUUCUCCAAAACGUAAGCUUAAGCCAUAAUAGACAAACUAAUGGCAAUUAACGUUUAUAGAUUUUUGUAGUAACACUGACA